UCGCGACGUAGUUGACUCCGUGGCUCAGACACGCUGGCGGCGUGCCUAACACAUGCAAGUCGAACGGGGUAAAUUGCUUCGGUAAUUUACUUAGUGGCGAACGGGUGAGUAACGCGUGAAGAACCUGCCUUUCAGAGGGGGACAACAGUUGGAAACGACUGCUAAUACCGCAUAACACAUCGAGGGGGCAUCCCCUUGAUGUCAAAGAUUUAUCGCUGAAAGAUGGGCUCGCGUCUGAUUAGAUAGUUGGUGAGGUAACGGCUCACCAAGUCGACGAUCAGUAGCCGGACUGAGAGGUUGAACGGCCACAUUGGGACUGAGAUACGGCCCAGACUCCUACGGGAGGCAGCAGUGGGGAAUAUUGGGCAAUGGGGGCAACCCUGACCCAGCAACGCCGCGUGAAGGAAGAAGGCUUUCGGGUUGUAAACUUCUUUUAGCAGGGACGAAGGACGUGACGGUACCUGCAGAAAAAGCAACGGCUAACUACGUG
Molecule: ribosomal RNA, 490 nt
Filed under: uncultured bacterium
Lineage: Bacteria
Description: bacterial SSU rRNA
Rfam family: Bacterial small subunit ribosomal RNA
Source: RNAcentral